AAUUAAAUGAGGCAAAACUAGGGAAACCUAGUCACGCAAAGCUAUAGGGGCUAAAGUUUAGUAAACCAUGCCAGCCAGUUGCCGAA
The sequence is a regulatory RNA element, 86 nucleotides long. It matches the Rfam family "c-di-GMP-I riboswitch aptamer". From Rfam's summary of the family: GEMM was predicted in a large-scale screen for bacterial structured RNA regulatory elements. Genes associated with GEMM are involved in a diverse array of functions, including chemotaxis regulation, signal transduction, secretion and chitin. The record is from Rfam.